This 471-nucleotide ribosomal RNA is filed under the name Streptococcus mitis. RNAcentral describes it as "bacterial SSU rRNA". It matches the Rfam family "Bacterial small subunit ribosomal RNA", at positions 28 to 485 of the family's 1533-position model. The record is from RNAcentral. Lineage: Bacteria; Bacillati; Bacillota; Bacilli; Lactobacillales; Streptococcaceae.
GACGAACGCUGGCGGCGUGCCUAAUACAUGCAAGUAGAACGCUGAAGGAGGAGCUUGCUUCUCUGGAUGAGUUGCGAACGGGUGAGUAACGCGUAGGUAACCUGCCUGGUAGCGGGGGAUAACUAUUGGAAACGAUAGCUAAUACCGCAUAACAGUAGAUGUUGCAUGACAUUUGCUUAAAAGGUGCAAUUGCAUCACUACCAGAUGGACCUGCGUUGUAUUAGCUAGUUGGUGAGGUAACGGCUCACCAAGGCAACGAUACAUAGCCGACCUGAGAGGGUGAUCGGCCACACUGGGACUGAGACACGGCCCAGACUCCUACGGGAGGCAGCAGUAGGGAAUCUUCGGCAAUGGACGGAAGUCUGACCGAGCAACGCCGCGUGAGUGAAGAAGGUUUUCGGAUCGUAAAGCUCUGUUGUAAGAGAAGAACGAGUGUGAGAGUGGAAAGUUCACACUGUGACGGACCUACCA